Molecule: ribosomal RNA, 425 nt
Filed under: uncultured bacterium
Lineage: Bacteria
Description: partial 16S ribosomal RNA
Rfam family: Bacterial small subunit ribosomal RNA
Source: RNAcentral
GUGGGGAAUAUUGGGCAAUGGGCGAAAGCCUGACCCAGCAACGCCGCGUGAAGGAAGAAGGUCUUCGGAUCGUAAACUUCUAUCCUUGGUGAAGAUAAUGACGGUAGCCGAGAAGGAAGCCCCGGCUAACUACGUGCCAGCAGCCGCGGUAAUACGUAGGGGGCAAGCGUUGUCCGGAAUGAUUGGGCGUAAAGGGCGCGUAGGCGGCCUGAUAAGUCUGGAGUGAAAGUCCUGCUUUUAAGGUGGGAAUUGCUUUGGAUACUGUCGGGCUUGAGUGCAGGAGAGGUAAGUGGAAUUCCCGGUGUAGCGGUGAAAUGCGUAGAGAUCGGGAGGAACACCAGUGGCGAAGGCGACUUACUGGACUGUAACUGACGCUGAGGCGCGAAAGUGUGGGGAGCAAACAGGAUUAGAAACCCCGGUAGUCC